Molecule: ribosomal RNA, 762 nt
Filed under: Triticum aestivum (bread wheat)
Lineage: Eukaryota; Viridiplantae; Streptophyta; Magnoliopsida; Poales; Poaceae
Description: partial small subunit ribosomal RNA
Source: RNAcentral
CAGGGUGUCAUUGCUGGCAAUCCAUUGACUGAUACAACGACGGCCUUCAACGCUCGAAUUCCAUUUCUUCAUGGGAUGGGAAUUAUACCAGAUGAAAUCUACGAGGCUGCUCGUGAAGGCUGUGGAGGAGAAUAUCGCUGGCCAUCGAACUCCCAUUGUGCCAAUUCCCUCCAAGACAUCCAAGAGUGCAUGAGGGGCUUAAACGAUGUACACGUCUUGGAGAAAAUCUGUCCAGAAUAUCCAAGCCUCGCCCUUCAAAAGCAGCCGACGUCGCAGGAUCAUGGAAGAAGAAGGCUAACAGAGUCCGCAGUUUCGUCUCUGUGCAGGAAUGCCACAUACUUCUUGUCCGAGUUGUGGACAAAUGACGAAGCUGUAAGGGAGAGUUUGGCUAUUCACAAGGAAACCGUUCCAUCAUGGCUACGAUGUGAUUUCAAUCUACCUUACACAUAUGAAAUCAGCAGCACCGUUGAUGAUCAUUUAGCCUUGAUUACUAAAGGAUACCGGGCUAUGAUAUACAGUGGAGAUCAUGACAGUAAAGUAUCUUAUGUCGACACCCAAGCAUGGAUCAGACGACUUAACCUGCCCAUCACGGACCGUUAGCGACCAUGGCAUCUGGACGACCAAAUUGUGGGGUACACAAGAACUUACUCCAACAAUUUGAGAUACGCAACUGUAAAGGGUGCCGGCCACACAGCCCCGGAGUACAUGCCAAGGGAGUGUCUGGCUAUGAUCGAUAGAUGGCUUUCCGGUCAACCUCUUUGA